AGCGAACGCUGGCGGCAUGCUUAACACAUGCAAGUCGCACGGGCAGUAGCAAUACUGUCAGUGGCGGACGGGUGAGUAACGCGUAGGAAUCUAUCCUUGAAUGGGGGACAACCGUGGGAAACUACGGCCAAUACCGCAUGAUGCCUGAGGGCCAAAGACGAAAGUCGUUUGAGGAGGAGCCUGCGUCUGAUUAGGUAGUUGGUGGGGUAAAGGCCUACCAAGCCCUACGAUCAGUAGCUGGUCUGAGAGGAUGAUCAGCCACAUUGGGACUGAGACACGGCCCAAACUCCUACGGGAGGCAGCAGUGGGGAAUAUUGGACAAUGGGCGCAAGCCUGAUCCAGCAAUGCCGCGUGGGUGAAGAAGGUCUUCGGAUUGUAAAGCCCUUUUGGCGGGGACGAUGAUGACGGUACCCGCAGAAUAAGCUCCGGCUAACUUCGUG
Molecule: ribosomal RNA, 440 nt
Filed under: uncultured bacterium
Lineage: Bacteria
Description: bacterial SSU rRNA
Rfam family: Bacterial small subunit ribosomal RNA
Source: RNAcentral